UACGAAGGGGGCUAGCGUUGCUCGGAAUUACUGGGCGUAAAGCGCGCGCAGGCGGUCUUCCAAGUCAGUGGUGAAAGCCCGGAGCUCAACUCCGGAACUGCCAUUGAAACUGUUAGACUUGAGGACGAGAGAGGUGAGUGGAAUUCCCAGUGUAGAGGUGAAAUUCGUAGAUAUUGGGAAGAACACCGGUGGCGAAGGCGGCUCACUGGCUCGUUUCUGACGCUCAGGCGCGACAGCGUGGGGAUCAAACAGG
RNAcentral lists this ribosomal RNA (253 nucleotides) under uncultured bacterium. RNAcentral describes it as "partial 16S ribosomal RNA". It matches the Rfam family "Bacterial small subunit ribosomal RNA", at positions 524 to 776 of the family's 1533-position model. The record is from RNAcentral.